This 64-nucleotide transfer RNA is filed under the name Chalcophana sp. N69. Its description in RNAcentral is "tRNA-Trp". Lineage: Eukaryota; Metazoa; Arthropoda; Insecta; Coleoptera; Chrysomelidae. The record is from RNAcentral.
AAGGAUUUAAGUUAACUGAAACUGUCAGCCUUCAAAGCUAAUUAUAGAUUAUAUCUAAGCCUUA